AUACGGAGGGUGCAAGCGUUAUUCGGAAUCACUGGGCGUAAAGGACGCGUAGGCGGGUUGGCAAGUCAGAUGUGAAAUCCUACAGCUUAACUGUAGAACUGCAUUUGAAACUGCUAACCUAGAGUAUGGGAGGGGGAGAUGGAAUUAGUGGUGUAGGGGUAAAAUCCGUAGAUAUCUCUAGGAAUACCGAAAGCGAAGGCGAUCUCCUGGAACAUAACUGACGCUAAGGCGUGAAAGCGUGGGGAGCAAACAGGAUUAGAAACCCUUGUAGUCC
Molecule: ribosomal RNA, 274 nt
Filed under: uncultured bacterium
Lineage: Bacteria
Description: partial 16S ribosomal RNA
Rfam family: Bacterial small subunit ribosomal RNA
Source: RNAcentral